UGGAGAGUUUGAUCCUGGCUCAGGACGAACGCUGGCGGCGUGCUUAACACAUGCAAGUCGAACGGAAAGGCCCUUCGGGGUACUCGAGUGGCGAACGGGUGAGUAACACGUGGGUGAUCUGCCCUGCACUUUGGGAUAAGCCUGGGAAACUGGGUCUAAUACCGAAUAGGACCACGCAUUUCAUGGUGUGUGGUGGAAAGCUUUUGCGGUGUGGGAUGGGCCCGCGGCCUAUCAGCUUGUUGGUGGGGUAAUGGCCUACCAAGGCGACGACGGGUAGCCGGCCUGAGAGGGUGACCGGCCACACUGGGACUGAGAUACGGCCCAGACUCCUACGGGAGGCAGCAGUGGGGAAUAUUGCACAAUGGGCGCAAGCCUGAUGCAGCGACGCCGCGUGAGGGAUGACGGCCUUCGGGUUGUAAACCUCUUUCAAUAGGGACGAAGCGCAAGUGACGGUACCUAUAGAAGAAGGACCGGCCAACUACGUGCCAGCAGCCGCGGUA
RNAcentral lists this ribosomal RNA (500 nucleotides) under Mycobacterium sp. N845T. RNAcentral describes it as "bacterial SSU rRNA". It matches the Rfam family "Bacterial small subunit ribosomal RNA", at positions 1 to 522 of the family's 1533-position model. The record is from RNAcentral. Lineage: Bacteria; Bacillati; Actinomycetota; Actinomycetes; Mycobacteriales; Mycobacteriaceae.